RNAcentral lists this ribosomal RNA (715 nucleotides) under Arthrobacter sp. 83ND11. Its description in RNAcentral is "bacterial SSU rRNA". It matches the Rfam family "Bacterial small subunit ribosomal RNA", at positions 84 to 814 of the family's 1533-position model. The record is from RNAcentral. Lineage: Bacteria; Bacillati; Actinomycetota; Actinomycetes; Micrococcales; Micrococcaceae.
UGGGGGGAUUCGUGGCCAACGGGUGAGUAACACGUGAGUAACCUGCCCUUGACUCUGGGAUAAGCCUGGGAAACUGGGUCUAAUACUGGAUACGACCUUCCCACGCAUGUGGUGUUGGUGGAAAGCUUUUGUGGUUUUGGAUGGACUCGCGGCCUAUCAGCUUGUUGGUGGGGUAAUGGCCUACCAAGGCGACGACGGGUAGCCGGCCUGAGAGGGUGGACGGCCACACUGGGACUGAGACACGGCCCAGACUCCUACGGGAGGCAGCAGUGGGGAAUAUUGCACAAUGGGCGCAAGCCUGAUGCAGCGACGCCGCGUGAGGGAUGAAGGCCUUCGGGUUGUAAACCUCUUUCAGUAGGGAAGAAGCGAAAGUGACGGUACCUGCAGAAGAAGCGCCGGCUAACUACGUGCCAGCAGCCGCGGUAAUACGUAGGGCGCAAGCGUUAUCCGGAAUUAUUGGGCGUAAAGAGCUCGUAGGCGGUUUGUCGCGUCUGCCGUGAAAGUCCGGGGCUUAACUCCGGAUCUGCGGUGGGUACGGCAGACUUGAGUGAUGUAGGGAGACUGGAAUUCCUGGUGUAGCGGUGAAAUGCGCAGAUAUCAGAAGAACACCGAUGGCGAAGGCAGGUCUCUGGGCCAUUAACUGACGCUGAGGACCGAAAGCAUGGGGAGCGAAACAGGAAUAAAUACCCUGGUAGUCCAUGCCGAAACGUUGGGC